Molecule: unclassified non-coding RNA, 310 nt
Filed under: Hevea brasiliensis (rubber tree)
Lineage: Eukaryota; Viridiplantae; Streptophyta; Magnoliopsida; Malpighiales; Euphorbiaceae
Source: RNAcentral
GACCCCAACCAUGAAAAUCCGAAGAGACAGAGUCACGGAACGCUACAGGGAGCAGAUAGCCAAUCUGUACAAAUAGUUCGUACAAGCAAAAUGUAUGCAGGAAACUGUCAUAAUAAUGGCCUGAAAUGUAACCAGGAUUAAUAAUCUUAAAUAUCCCAAGUUCCCAUGGUAGUUAUAUCCCUGCACUUCAAUUGGUGCAGUUUGUCUCCUCAAGUAACGUUUUGUUUUUAAUGUCAUACGAAACAAAUUUAUUUCUAGUACUUUCCUCUUCUUGUGGUGUUGUCGUAUGUAAGUGAAUAAUUCUGGCUGC